UCUUUCAUCUUUCUUUGACAUCUCUUGUGAAAGUGCUGAGUUUCUUUUUUUCCUCCAUUGAUUAGACUUCUGGUUUGAGCCUGAGUAGGAUGAGGCAGUGUCCUCCUAAUGGUCUGAUUUUAAGACCAUUUGAACUUGUGGAGUUUGCAGUUCUGGUUUUAAAAGGAUACAGCCCUCAAGUUACAUUUUUUAACAUCUGAGAGCAUGCCUAUGUGUUUUGCUUGUGACUGU
This 231-nucleotide long non-coding RNA is filed under the name Capsella rubella. Its description in RNAcentral is "long non-coding RNA (CRUB_LNC002112)". The record is from RNAcentral. Lineage: Eukaryota; Viridiplantae; Streptophyta; Magnoliopsida; Brassicales; Brassicaceae.